AUAACUUUUAACAAUGGAUCUCUAGGCUCUCACAUCGAUGAAGAACACAGUGAAACGUGAUAAGUGAUGUGAAUUGCAGAAUUCGGUGAAUCAUUGAAUCUUUGAACGCACCUUGCGCCUUUUGGUAUUCCAAAAGGUACACCUGUUUGAGCGUCAU
RNAcentral lists this ribosomal RNA (157 nucleotides) under Puccinia thlaspeos. RNAcentral's name for it is "5.8S ribosomal RNA". It matches the Rfam family "5.8S ribosomal RNA". Rfam says of the family: 5.8S ribosomal RNA (5.8S rRNA) is a component of the large subunit of the eukaryotic ribosome. It is transcribed by RNA polymerase I as part of the 45S precursor that also contains 18S and 28S rRNA. The record is from RNAcentral. Lineage: Eukaryota; Fungi; Basidiomycota; Pucciniomycetes; Pucciniales; Pucciniaceae.